UACGUAGGGGGCAAGCGUUGUCCGGAUUUAUUGGGCGUAAAGAGCGUGUAGGCGGCCUGACAGGUCUGCUGUGAAAACUCGAGGCUCAACCUCGAGAUGUCGGCGGAAACCGUCUGGCUAGAGUCCGGAAGAGGAGAGUGGAAUUCCUGGUGUAGCGGUGAAAUGCGCAGAUAUCAGGAAGAACACCAAUGGCGAAGGCAGAUCUCUGGGCCGUAACUGACGCUGAGGAGCGAAAGCAUGGGGAGCGAACAGG
This 253-nucleotide ribosomal RNA is filed under the name uncultured bacterium. RNAcentral describes it as "partial 16S ribosomal RNA". It matches the Rfam family "Bacterial small subunit ribosomal RNA", at positions 524 to 776 of the family's 1533-position model. The record is from RNAcentral.